Molecule: ribosomal RNA, 497 nt
Filed under: uncultured bacterium
Lineage: Bacteria
Description: partial 16S ribosomal RNA
Rfam family: Bacterial small subunit ribosomal RNA
Source: RNAcentral
GAUGAACGCUGGCGGCGUGCCUAAUACAUGCAAGCCGAGCGAACAGACGAGGAGCUUGCUCCUCUGACGUUAGCGGCGGACGGGUGAGUAACACGUGGAUAACCUACCUAUAAGACUGGGAUAACUUCGGGAAACCGGAGCUAAUACCGGAUAAUAUAUUGAACCGCAUGGUUCAAUAGUGAAAGACGGUUUUGCUGUCACUUAUAGAUGGAUCCGCGCCGCAUUAGCUAGUUGGUAAGGUAACGGCUUACCAAGGCAACGAUGCGUAGCCGACCUGAGAGGGUGAUCGGCCACACUGGAACCGAGACACGGUCCAGACUCCUACGGGAGGCAGCAGGAGGGAAUCUUCCGCAAUGGGCGAAAGCCUGACGGAGCAACGCCGCGUGAGUGAUGAAGGUCUUCGGAUCGUAAAACUCUGUUAUUAGGGAAGAACAAAUGUGUAAGUAACUAUGCACGUCUUGACGGUACCUAAUCAGAAAGCCACGGCUAACUACGUG